UACGGGGGGAGCAAGCGUUGUUCGGAUUUACCGGGCGUAAAGGGCGCGUAGGCGGCCACCGCAAGUCGGUUGUGAAAUCUCUGGGCUUAACCCAGAAAGGUCAACCGAUACUGCGGGACUAGAGUGCAGAAGGGGCAACUGGAAUUCUCGGUGUAGCGGUGAAAUGCGUAGAUAUCGAGAGGAACACCUGCGGCGAAGGCGGGUUGCUGGGCUGACACUGACGCUGAAGCGCGAAAGCUAGGGGAACGAA
Molecule: ribosomal RNA, 250 nt
Filed under: uncultured bacterium
Lineage: Bacteria
Description: partial 16S ribosomal RNA
Rfam family: Bacterial small subunit ribosomal RNA
Source: RNAcentral